RNAcentral lists this ribosomal RNA (493 nucleotides) under uncultured bacterium. Its description in RNAcentral is "partial 16S ribosomal RNA". The stretch from base 20 to 374 matches the Rfam family "Bacterial small subunit ribosomal RNA", at positions 47 to 391 of the family's 1533-position model. The record is from RNAcentral.
GACGAACGCUGGCGGCGUGCUUAACACAUGCAAGUCGAACGGUGAAGCGCCUUCCUUUUUGGUGGGUGUGGAUGAGUGGCGAACGGGUGAGUAACACGUGAGUAACCUGCCCCCUUCUUCUGGAUAACCGCAUGAAAGUGUGGCUAAUACGGGAUAUUCUGGGUCUGUCGCAUGAUGGGUCUGGGAAAGAUAUUGUUUCGGUGGGGGAUGGGCUCGCGGCCUAUCAGCUUGUUGGUGGGGUGAUGGCCUACCAAGGCGGUGACGGGUAGCCGGCCUGAGAGGGUGGCGGGACCAAGGGGAAUGGGGACCCGGCCGGGACCCGAAGGGGGGGCAGCGGGGGGGGAUAGUGCAAAGGGGGGACAAGCCGGAUGCGGGCGCGCGGGGGGGGGGGGGGGGGCCUUUGGGGUGGGACCCUCUUUGGGCGGUAAAGGGGGCCGGCCUGGUUUGGGGGGGGGUUGACGGUAGUGGGAAAAAAAGCCCGGCUAAAUUAGGG